This 1357-nucleotide long non-coding RNA is filed under the name Sinocyclocheilus grahami. RNAcentral's name for it is "lncRNA (ENSSGRG00000031308.1)". The record is from RNAcentral. Lineage: Eukaryota; Metazoa; Chordata; Actinopteri; Cypriniformes; Cyprinidae.
CUAAAAGUGAAGUUCUUUGCGGCAAAGGCCCUGUAGAUCAGGACACACCUCAGCGGCUCAUAUGAAAUAGUGAGACUUAGGGAAUUGACUUCAGCAGAUAUGAGCAUAUUAAGAAACUGACUACUGGGAUUGCUUAAGUUUGGGUUGGGAGGUGACCUAAAGGGGAGAAACUGAGAACCAAGGAGUGAGCCGUGAGGGAGGAAGAGUAAAAAAUGGUGGCACCUUCAGUGUGAGCUGCGAGUUAGGUGUGAUUUGUACAGUCUGCAGUGUGUGUGUGAACUGGUCGGCAGUUUGGUUGCAGGUUUCUGCUGAGCAGGAACGUGUGGUGUCUUGAUUGACUUGAUAGCUGCUACUGAUACUGUUAUGGACUCCACUGCACUGCUGUCUGUGGUAGGCGGGGCUCUCUUCCUGUCAAUCAUCCUUUUAGCCAGUCUUUGUACAUACUGCUGGGGGCAUAAACAACCAACAUCCAUCCAUCAGAGGUCCAGUGACUCAGAAUACAACCCAACUUUUGUGGUUCGGCAUCCCGUGUCAACAUAUGAGCACCAUACGGAUCAUACCAGAAUUGGACCUUACCAACCCAAUUCACUCAGUUCACCAUCUAUUACUGUCACAAAGGUGCCCUCCUGUCCUCCCUCAGAAACUGGAAGUCAAGCCAGUUAUGUGAAUCAAAACGAGAGUGACGAUGAGCCGUAUGUUCAGCCUCCAAGUGAAUACAUAGUUGUUCUUCCAGAUUCCCCAAACACGAUAUCUCAGAGACCCAGCAGAGCUUCAUCCCAGAGCUCAGGAGAACCUUACAUAAAUGUAGACCAUGUGUCUGAAGCUAUAUUUGACUGUGAGAUGUAUGUGGAUGAAUCAGACUCAGACAUUCCCGAUUAUGAAAAUUGCAAAAAUUCUCAAGAUCACAGGGAACAAACCUAUAGUCUGUCCCGUGGAAGUCAAAGCAGUGAUGAACGGGACAGCUCUGAUUAUGUCAACACAGACCCUAAUUUACAAUAACCAAGGAUUUGCCUUUUACCAAAUAAUGACAGUUAACAAGGUCAGACCUAAGAACCAUCCUGACUGCCAGAGGAGUUUUCAGAUUUACCUGUGCUUUGAAUUUUGAAGUGCAUCACCAAGAAAGCUUUGAACCAUCAUCACCUCCGAAAACUUCCUCCCUCAGUCCUUAUGACAAAUUUGCUGACGAAACCUGAGAAUGUUUUUUUUUAUUUUUUAUUAACAUUUGCUGUUUACAGUGUACUGCAUCCAGGCUUUUACUUUCAAAUAUAUGAACUUCUUUUUUUUGACUCUGCCAUGUAAUAUAUAGCUUUUUGUCAUUAAAAUGAAUAAACAUGUUAGCUAUUGGUUUGUAAAUGGC